CUCUCCAACAGCCUUGUCGACACAGCCAGUACGCCGAUUCUCUCCCAGCUUCGGGCAAGGACCACCGACUCGACCCCGCCAAUACGCCCACGGCCUGAGACUUCAGUGGCCAGCGUGCGUGCAAUCCAGGCCCGGAUGGACGAAGAGACGAAGAGGCAGGAGGAGAUCGAGGCGAGGCUGGAGGAGGAGCGGACGCUAAGGCAGGAGCAAGAGCGCAGGUGGCAGGAAGAGCGGAUGCAGGAGCGGCAGAGGAUGGAGCAGGCGCUUCUUGCUGAGCGACAGGCUGCACAACAACAGAUGCAGACCAUGUUCUCAUACCUCCAAUGCCUUGGCGCGACAAUCAACUAUCAACCGCCGCCAACGAUGCCCUGGCCUCCACCACCGCUGCCACCGCUAGGCCUUCCUUCUAUCUUUCCUCCAUCUGGCGCUACAGGCACUCCUAAUCAAUCGAUUGGGGGGGUCAAAUGAGCCUCUGGACGAGCAUUCACCGGCACCGGCAGCGUCGUAGUGGCCACCUAGCUGAUUUAGAGUUAUUUACGAUAUUUGUUC
Panicum virgatum (switchgrass) is the source of this 549-nucleotide long non-coding RNA. RefSeq lists it as uncharacterized. The transcript has 3 exons. NCBI's taxonomy places the organism in Eukaryota, Viridiplantae, Streptophyta, Magnoliopsida, Poales, Poaceae. The record is from RefSeq and is a predicted model, not a curated record.